RNAcentral lists this ribosomal RNA (255 nucleotides) under Diploschistes muscorum. Its description in RNAcentral is "partial 12S small subunit ribosomal RNA". It matches the Rfam family "Bacterial small subunit ribosomal RNA", at positions 801 to 1072 of the family's 1533-position model. The record is from RNAcentral. Lineage: Eukaryota; Fungi; Ascomycota; Lecanoromycetes; Ostropales; Graphidaceae.
UGAUGAGUGUCAUAUGCAAGAGAUAAAUAUAUAAAAAAAUAUUUUGUGUAUAAAUGAAAGUGUAAGCACUCCACCUCAAGAGUAACGUGGCAACAUGGGAACUGAAAUCAUUAGACCGUUUCUGAAACUCGUAGUGAAGUAUGUUGUUUAAUUAGAUGGUGCACAAAUAACCUUACCACAAUUUGUAUAACUAUAGUACAUAAUAAUAAUAUAGUUACAAGCGUUGCACGGCUGUCUUUAGUCUAUGUUGUGAAA